GACAAGUGAGAAAGGGAAUCAAUACUCUGAAAUCAAAACAGAUUUCUGGUAAGUUAAAGAAAAGCUCAUAACUCAGCAAGUAUUUACCCAAAAUUUCCCAAAUUUUACAAGAUGGUUAUUUAGGUAAUUUUUGAUAAGUUUGGUAUUCAGAGGACGAGCUGGAACAGAUUCUAUCAAGGUGAUCUACUCAGGUUUUUAACGGGGGGGUACAUCCUGGAAGUUUCAGAACAGUGCGGAAAAAAACUGAGCAUAACUCUUAAACCAGUGAUCCCAAAAUUUGGAUAUUUUACCAGAAUGCUCUUUAGAUGAUGUCCAACAAGUUUGGUAUUCAAAUUUUUAGCUGAAAUAAGGUCUAGGAAGGUGAUAACUAUAAUUCUCACAGAGGGGUUCGUUCUGGAAUUUUCAGAAAUAGUGCAGGAAUAAAUAUACCAUAUAUCUUAAACCGUUGAUCCAUUUGAGCUGAAAUUUUACCAAAAUGUUCUCUGC
RNAcentral lists this long non-coding RNA (486 nucleotides) under Setaria viridis. RNAcentral's name for it is "long non-coding RNA (SVIR_LNC009420)". Lineage: Eukaryota; Viridiplantae; Streptophyta; Magnoliopsida; Poales; Poaceae. The record is from RNAcentral.